Long non-coding RNA from Carassius auratus (goldfish), 3385 nucleotides. Lineage: Eukaryota; Metazoa; Chordata; Actinopteri; Cypriniformes; Cyprinidae. The record is from Ensembl.
AGCCUUAUUCGUAUUGAAAAGAGAAGUAUCUUGUGUUUUGUGCUUACAAGUUAAUGUCUUAAACUGUCGAUCUUGUUACUGUGCUAAUUGAUAGUGUUUUCACUAUAGUUUGGAUAUUAGUAUCCAGCGCAGAUUUGAUGUUAAACGGCUCGUUCACUGAACCGCAGGCGCGUCUCCGUGAGCAGCCGUGAAACAGUGAUUCUGUUCAAAUUCCCUUUAAAAUCUUAAAUGAUUCCCUUUGAGCUAAAUUGACCUGUUUCCCUUACAGUGUUCUGCUCCGAUCUACUUAGAAAGAUAGAGCCACUCAAUAUAACCAGGGGCACUGAUCUUCACAUGUAAGACACGGAUCGAAGCGCAGCGAGGAGAGGAAGUAUGAAGGCUCUGUGUUGGUGAGAGUCACUCAGACAUGGUUGCUAAGCUCCCAGGCUUUGCAGUUUAUCUCUCUGAGGCUCCGUGUAAAAGGAAAAAUAGAAGAGCAGGGCUCAAGAGCAGGGUUCAAUUAAGGAGGUCCGUGAGUGAGGAAGAGCGACACUCAUGCUCCCAGCGAGAGCAUUCAGUCUCAAUGAGGGUGACAGUGCAUCAGCCAAAAGUGUGAUCCACUGUAUCCUACAAUCCUCGAAGAUAGAGCCAGAGUCUUUAUCCAAGGACCGCUCAACAGAUUCCGCAUUCCUCACAGAUACCAUCUAUUAUCGUCUGACAUCAUCUCUGGUUUACUGACCCACUAACAUUCCAUGCUAAAUGCCUCUGACAUAAAACACUCGACUAGUUACUGGUCAUCUAGCAGAUGCUUUUUCAUGCAGAAUUUUUUUCAGUGAACUAUUUGUAGGGACAGUCUGCCUGGAGCAACUCAGGGGGUUAAGAGCCUCACUCAUUACACAUAAUGAGGUCUCAGGAACUCUCCUAUUCUUGGGAAACACCAGAUUAAAUGAGCAAUCAAUAUAUAUAUAAUGUAGUACAGUAGACCGAAGACAAAUUUAUAAAAUGUCCUCCCAGAUGUGGAACUGGUAGCAUGACAAUACAAAUACAAAAUGAAUGUGAAUCAUACACUGAAUACAUAUAAAAAUUUCAUGAACUGAAAAUGCUUUUACCAUAGAGCAUAAUUUGUAGACUAGUAAUACAUUUUGAUGUACAUCACAUAACCAGCUCCAUAUAUGGAUUUUCUGAUGGAGUAAACUUUCUGAGCACCUAAUCUGGUAGCUACAGAAUUGCACUUGCGAUGCACUGAAAGAAAGUGUGUUGGAUUUACAUGAUUUAAACUUGUAGCCUAUGCAUCAGUUAAGUAAAACAAACAUAAUUUGUUCACGAAACUUCAACUUCGCUUGACCAAAUUAAGUAGUCUCAAUGUGAUUUUGCAUGGAUCCCAGGAUUUAAUUCAUUCAAUUUUGUAUGCAUUUUGUCACAUAACUGAAUUAUAAUACUAGCUAACAAACUGUUUGUGAGCAACAGCACUAAUUAGCAUGCUAAAUGCUAAGUCUGCUCCCUAAGUAAAGCAGCAAAACACCAGUCCUCCACCAGUGCAAUACAAGUCCUCACUCUACACAAAAGCUCCACUCUUCAUCACAACGGUUUGGGAACUAUAGGGAACUAUAAUUUCAGGGAACUAGUUAGAGCUAGAUUUAGAGCUAGAGCUAGUUGCUUAGAACCAGUACACGCUGUGCAACAUACAGUACAACUAAUGUAAAAAACAAAACAACCUUUCCAGAUUCACGUUCAUCUGUUUCAGAUGAAAUUGAAAAUGCUUUUAGUGCACUCACUGGGCAUUUCAAUUUGAAAAUAUCAUGAAAUGUGGAAAAUUGGUUUUGAAGAGAAAUCAAACAGUUUGAUUAGGUAAGUUUGAGUUCAUAUUGAAAUAUCGGAUGUUUGAUGACAAGACUCUAGUAUCUUUAAUUUCAUAGCCAUCAAUGAGAAGCAGUAGAGAUGUUACACAUAGACUGUCCUCUGCUGUCCACGGGGCCUAUAGGGUCUCAUUGUGAUGUGUAUUAUUGUUUAAUACAGGGCAGCACAGCUCUAUUGACCUUUGGGGGUCAUGGUGUCAGGAUUGUUUAGUCUGCCUUUUUCUAACCAUCCAUCAAGAGCCAGACGCAGAACUCGCAACUGACAAAAGCACAGAGAGACAGAGGACAAAGCAUGAUGGAAAAGUGGGAGCAUGUAAACGCCACUUGUCAGCCUUCGAGUAAGGCUUUGUCACACAUGAAUACUGCAGUGGUGAAGAUGGAGGAUGUGUUGACAUCUCAAGGUUACAUAAAAGCCACCACACAAUGCUUUCUCUUACAGCUAUCUGUGUGGGAAAAUUUCUAAAGCGUGUACACAAAACAAUUUUUAUUGAUCACUUCUUUCUUCUAUUUCUCCCUGAAAUUAAGCUAACCCACUCAUAAGGAAACUCCCACACACGGAGAACCCAACCCUAGUUUUCUCCCUUUUCUUUAUUUGCUUUCUAAAAGAUAACCUUUGCUCAAUGCAAUUUGUAGGUCAGAUAGAAACAAUGAAAUGAAGUUCAAUGUAAGACAGUGAAUCUUCUGUAGUAUUGAUGGUAACUGCAUUCUCAUUUGGUCAGUCAUAUAUUUAUUGCAUUUCAUCUGAAAAUGUCUAGGGUAGUACAAUUCCAGAAUCCAGAUAAACACUAGGCAGUUCAUGCUAUGUGGUUGUUAUAGUGUUAUGGGUGUCAAGUUCUUAUGAUAAUCUGAACUCUAUGAAUCAGGAACCUCCUUCAAAUAUGGCAUAUGUCUUCAAGAAGGUUCAGAAUUGUUCAAAUCCUUAAAGAUGAAGCUUGCAUUAGACAGCACCACUCAGUGCUCAGUUAUGUGUGCUUUUGUCCAUGUAUACUAAUGUCCUCUGCUCAUCAAAGACAUCCAGCAAUCACCGCAAGCAAUACAAAAACGGACAUCUACUUCACUGAAUAGUUUCUGUCUUCCCUUCUCUCCGAAGCCCAUUCAUUAACCUCUUGACAGCCAUUUUGCAUUCUGUAAUGGCUUCUUUAUUGUUCUGCAUUAGCUGUGUAAUUAAAACAAAAGUGGGAAAUCAAUGCAAAUCUAAUUACCUUAACUUGUUUAUGUCCAUUAUAGUCAGUGUGAAGAAUCUCAUCAUGUGGCUUAGUCCUUUUAUAUUCCACAAGUGAACAUUAAAACACUGAAUUUAUGACAUGUACCACAGCUCAGUAUUUUGAUAUGCCCAGCUUAUGUGAUUUCUUGCCACAUAUACAUUAGGACAUUUACAUAUAGUUCAAUGUUUAAAUGGACAUUAUUCGAGUAACUGUGCUGUACUGCUCACACUGUUCUUAACUGAAAGAAAGCUUAAGGUUCAUUAUCCAAAUCAUCAUGUUUAGCAGAAGAAAUGUGGUUUAUAUAGGAGAGAAUGGAACAAUGCACAUUUACUCUAUGCAUCUUGG